GAUGAACGCUGGCAGAAUGCUUAACACAUGCAAGUCAACUUGAACUACGGGUUGGGUGGCGGUCGGGUAAGUAACGCGUAAAGAACUUGCAUCACAGCUAAGGACAACUAUUGGACACGAAUGCUAAUACCUGAUAGUAUGAUUAUAUGGCAUCGUAUAAUUAUGAAAGCUAUAUGUGCUGUGAGAGAGCUUUGCGUCCCAUUAGCUAGGUGGAGAGGUAACAGCUCACCAAGGCGAUGAUGGGUAGCCGGCCUGAGAGGGUGAUCCGCCACAGGGGCACGGGGACACGGCCCUUACUCCUACGGGCGGCAGCAGUGGGGAAUAGUGGACAAAGGACCGAGAGUGUGAUCAAGCAAUUCUGUGUGCAAGAUGAAGUUUUUCGGAAUGUAAAGUGCUCUCAGUUGGUAAGAAAAAAAUGACGGUACCAACAGAAGAAGAGACGGCUAAAUACGUG
Molecule: ribosomal RNA, 454 nt
Filed under: uncultured bacterium
Lineage: Bacteria
Description: partial 16S ribosomal RNA
Rfam family: Bacterial small subunit ribosomal RNA
Source: RNAcentral